RNAcentral lists this ribosomal RNA (853 nucleotides) under uncultured Flavobacteriaceae bacterium. RNAcentral's name for it is "bacterial SSU rRNA". It matches the Rfam family "Bacterial small subunit ribosomal RNA", at positions 39 to 884 of the family's 1533-position model. The record is from RNAcentral. Lineage: Bacteria; Pseudomonadati; Bacteroidota; Flavobacteriia; Flavobacteriales; Flavobacteriaceae.
GCGGCAGGCCUUAUACAUGCAAGUCGGACGGUAACAUUGGUGCUUGCACCAGAUGACGAGUGGCGCACGGGUGCGUAACGCGUAUGCAACCUACCUUUUACUAGAGUAUAGCCCAGAGAAAUUUGGAUUAAUCCUCUAUAAUAUCUAUUAAUCUCAUGAUUUUUAGAUUAAAGUUUUAACGGUAAAAGAUGGGCAUGCGUCUUAUUAGUUUGUAGGUGAGGUAAUGGCUCACCUAGACUACGAUAGGUAGGGGCCCUGAGAGGGGGAUCCCCCACACUGGUACUGAGACACGGACCAGACUCCUACGGGAGGCAGCAGUAAGGAAUAUUGGACAAUGGACGAAAGUCUGAUCCAGCCAUGCCGCGUGCAGGAUGACAGCCCUAUGGGUUGUAAACUGCUUUUAUACAGGAAGAAACACUCCGACGUGUCGGAGCUUGACGGUACUGUAAGAAUAAGGAUCGGCUAACUCCGUGCCAGCAGCCGCGGUAAUACGGAGGAUCCAAGCGUUAUCCGGAAUUAUUGGGUUUAAAGGGUCCGCAGGCGGUCUUUUAAGUCAGAGGUGAAAGCCUACAGCUCAACUGUAGAAUGGCCUUUGAUACUGAAAGACUUGAGUUAUUGUGAAGUGGUUAGAAUGUGUGGUGUAGCGGUGAAAUGCAUAGAUAUCACACAGAAUACCGAUUGCGAAGGCAGAUCACUAACAAUAUACUGACGCUCAUGGACGAAAGCGUGGGGAGCGAACAGGAUUAGAUACCCUGGUAGUCCACGCCGUAAACGAUGGAUACUAGCUGUUCGUCUAACAUUGGUUAGAUGAGUGGCUAAGCGAAAGUGAUAAGUAUCCCACCUGGGGAGUACG